Molecule: long non-coding RNA, 1619 nt
Organism: Alosa sapidissima (American shad)
Lineage: Eukaryota; Metazoa; Chordata; Actinopteri; Clupeiformes; Clupeidae
Exons: 2
Source: RefSeq, a predicted model, not a curated record
AUUAGUUUUAUUUAUGUCUCAUAUGCCUUGUACUUUAGGUCAAGAAUGUGCAUGCCUAACUCUGUAGCUGUAAAUGUUUGCAACAGGUUCCAUUUCAUGGUACUUGUGUGUAUGUGCCUAGUGGUAUGUAACAAUCCUCCAGAUGUCAAUUCGUUUUGCAGAUUAAUAAUAGCUAUAAAGUGACAUAUCACCCCUUUUGAUGAAUGCAGUGUGGGCUACCCUUGCACAUGAAGUCAAAGAAGCAAAAUUGUAGGUUGUGGAGAGAUGCUGUAGCACAAAUUGAUAGUAUUUCUGAUCAAUUUGGCGCUGUUCUGUUUAAGGAUGUAAGCUAAAUGGUGUUACUGAGCCACCACUAUUCAAUGUUCAUGUUCAGGAACAGCACUGAGGUGGGAUAGGUUGACACCUGAAUGUUUAUUUUUAUUUUGUUUGUUUGUUUUUAGGUUAGCGUUUUGAUUGAUAAAUAUUAGAUAUAUUUACAUCAUAUCCUUAUGAUGUAAAUAUGUACAUUGUUAUUGCCUGUUCGACCAGGCUUGUGCAACAGGAUGUAGAAUUACAAUAUGAAUUAAAGGAAGUAGAAUUAAAAUUCAUAUGCAUAAUUUAAGGGUAGUGUUUAACAAUGAAGUUUCACAAUAUAUGUCAGAUAUGAUCGCAACAAACACACAACUUAUAAUUGACAACAGUAACCAAUUACAUUUCCAAACUAACCUUCCCAAAACUGAAUGUAUGUGAGAUUCAACACAUUUGUCCUGUUGUGUGUUGCCAUGAAUUGAAUUCCACUUCCUGUCAUUCCAAUUCAAAUUCAACAUUCUGUGGGGUGGGGCCAAUUCAAUUCAAAUUCCAAUUCAUUAAUUGAAUGUAGGCCAAUUCUAAAAUUCGGAAUUGUGCACAAGCCUGCGUUCAACAGAACUGAUAAAAAUAUUUCAGUGUAACUGUAUGAGAUUUCUGAUGUGUUUUCUGUGUGUUUUUCAGAUGGCGCCUCCUAGCAAGCGGUCCAGGGCGGCCAAGAAGAGACAGGCUGACUUGAGGUCCACUGAGGUGCCGUGCAAGAGGUCCCCGGUGGCGCAGGUUGACUUGGUCUCCUGUGACGAGGUUGGGCGUCCUCGUAAAAAAGCCCACACACAGUCUUCGGACGCUAUACAGUCUUCGGACUGCCAGUUACAAUGCCAGUUACAAUGCCAGUUACAAUGCCAGUUACAGUCUUCGGACGCAAUACAAGCAAACUCUACCAACUCUCAAACAAACUCUACCAACUCUCUGAAUAUGUGCCAUGACAAUAAUGCUACUGAUUGUUGUUCUUUGAAUGAAUCUGUUGACUUCCCAGAGAGAUCUGUGCUGAUGGGGUCUUUUCAUCAAGGCGAUUCACGGUUUGGAAAUGUGCGCAACAAGCAGUGUGGUGCCAUCAGUUUGACUGCUGUUUUGAAGUCCAAGAUGAAGAACGUGUGGAGCUGGGAAACUGGAGAUCUUGAUGAUGUUUUGAUUAAGGGAACUGUUCUUUACAGGUCAAUGAGUGCACAGGGUAAAAUAAGAGACCAAGGAAGGGGUUACAUUGCUGUGUCUGAAUUGCCUAGACAAUAUGAAGUGUGGAAUUGUGAUUUCUCAAUAAACUUUGCUGAUUCUUA